RNAcentral lists this ribosomal RNA (503 nucleotides) under Ischnocnema guentheri (Steindachner's robber frog). Its description in RNAcentral is "partial 16S ribosomal RNA". The stretch from base 164 to 503 matches the Rfam family "Bacterial large subunit ribosomal RNA", at positions 568 to 1065 of the family's 2925-position model. Lineage: Eukaryota; Metazoa; Chordata; Amphibia; Anura; Brachycephalidae. The record is from RNAcentral.
GCUAAAAACCUAGCCUAACAAACUCUCCCCUAUAUAUGUAUACAGUAAUCUGCUAAAAUAUUUUGACAUUCGAGUAAGGACGACUAAAAAACUUUAAAGCGCCAUAAUAAAGUACCGCAAGGGAAAGGUGAAAUAAUAAUGAAAUACCACAAAAAGCACAAAAAAGUAAAGAUUACAACUUGUACCUUUUGCAUCAUGGUUUAACUAGUUUAAUCAAGCAAAAAGAUUUUUAGUCCGACCCCCCGAAACUAAAUGAGCUACUUCAAGGCAGCUUACCGAGCUAACCCGUUCCUGUUGCAAAAGGCUGGGGUGACCUUGCAGUAGAGGUGAUAGACCUAACGAAUUUAGUGAUAGCUGGUUACUCAAGAAAAGAAUCUUAGUCCAACCUAAAGCUAACCCAUAAAAUCUACUACUACUUUAGAGCAAUUCAAAUAAGGUACAGCCUAUUUGACACAGGACACAACCUCAAACAACGGCUAACUCACAUACACUUAAACUAAGUA